This 1902-nucleotide long non-coding RNA is filed under the name Trifolium pratense (red clover). RNAcentral's name for it is "long non-coding RNA (TPRA_LNC004383)". Lineage: Eukaryota; Viridiplantae; Streptophyta; Magnoliopsida; Fabales; Fabaceae. The record is from RNAcentral.
UAUGUUUCUUCCGGUGGAAAAACAAAAGAUGAUAUAUGUAUGUGCACUUGUUUAAUCUGUGUGAAAGUGUGUGGGUUAUACAACUCAUAAUAAGAAUUUUUUUUUUUUUUUUUUGAUCAGUCNNNNNNNAUGACAUGUUUAAUAUAAUAAUUUAUGUGUGAAAAUAUAUCUAUUUGGAAAAUUUUAGUUUAAUGUGAAAUAUUACUUAAUUGUGUUCUCUAUUGUUAGUAAAUUGAGAAGUAUAUGGAUGCAUGUAUAAUUUGUGAAUUCAUGUUGAUAUUUGUGAAUAUAUGAGAACAAUAACUUGAGAAGAUGUAUACGAGUUAUUAGAGCAUUGUUAGAAGCAAAUUUAGGAGAUACUAUCUUGUUGAAAAAUUUGAUGAUAUUGAGAAAUUUAUUGAAGACACAUAUAUUGUGAUAGAGACGUUGUCGCUUAGAAAUAUUCUAAGUAGACCUGAACAUGAUUGUGUUUCAUGAGAUAUUUUCGAGAUACCAGUGAUUAUAUAAUAUGGUAUAUUGUGGAGUAUCCAUUGUAUUGAAAUAAUACAAUGAUGAUGUUUAAUAUAUUGUAGAUUAUCCAUUGUAUUAAAUAAUAUAAUGAUGUUUAGUGAAAUUGUGGAUUAUCCAUUGUAUUAAAAUAAUACAAUGAUGUUUAGUGAAAUUUUUUAUGAGAAAAUAUAUCUCAAUAUAUGAAAUUAUAAAUUGUCCUUAUUGAGGGGGCACUGUCACUUGAAAUCAUUCAAGUAGAUCUGAAUUAAAAUUCACCUAUGUUGACAAAUGUGGGGGUGUUGUCGCUUGAAAUCGAUAUUAUGAAUAUCGAUUUGAAAAUAUAUGAGAUAUUGAUUAAUGUGAUCAGCCAUUGUAUUAAAAUAAUACAAUGAUGUUAAUCGGAUAAAAGCCUAUGAGAAUAAAAUCAAUAAGUGGAUUUUAUUGUUCUAAGUGAGAAUGUUGUCGCUUAGUUAACUAAGCAGACAUGUAUAAAUUUAUUGUGAAGAACAAGCUUGUUGUUAUAAACUUGAUAAAUAUGAGAUUAAUUGACUUAGAGACGUCUUAGUAAAUAUUAUACUUGAUGAAAGAAAAUUAUGUCUUCAUCAUUUGUGUAAAGUACGUACUAAAUAAAGCCCCUAGGAAGAAAUAAUUUUGUGACACAUCGAGGGGAAUUGGACUUAAGCCAUUUGAAAUCAACAAGUGAUAGGAACCCAACCUUUGUGAUUGGAGAUCCCAUGAAUAAGGUUCAUAUGGGUAAGAACAAGUUACUUGUUAGAUCUGCUAGCACACAAAAAUUAGCUAAUUAAUUUUUGUCUUGGUCCUUUUCCUAUGGUGUGAGUGAGAAAGUGCUAGACACUGCAUUAUUGAGAGGGUAAGCAAUAAAGCUUUUAAUGAAUUUCAUAUCCCUUAUGGGUGGUGUAUGAUUUGCAGCAAUGUUUUAAAAACCGGACCGGAGAUCGAACCGGUGAGAGCUCCGGUUCAUGGUUCAACCGGUUUAAUCAGUUGAACCGCUAUUAAACCGUUAUUGAACCGAAUAAUUAAAAAUAAAUAUAAUGCUGAGGAAUAAAUAAUAAUUUUAGACUCAAUAAUUUGAUUUUUUUUUUAUAUAGUAAAAAAGAAAGUUAGUUCUCCAAAAAAAAGAAGUUAGUUUUAUUUUAUAAUAUAUUGGGCCAUUAUUUUAUCAAGUUGUAUUGACCCAAAAGCCCAAUUAUAAGUUAAACCCUAGAAUUGAAAUAUCCUCUCAUUCCUAUUAGUGAGCAGCCUCCACUCCACUUUCCAUCUUCUUCUCUCACGUACUUUCUUUCUUUUUCUUCUUAUUUUCUUGUUUCUUCUUUUUCUCUCUUACUUAGAUCUGUUUCAUUCCUUUCUUAAGUAUGACCAUCAAGAAAUAAAAAACUAUUGUGUGACUACAAC